Molecule: ribosomal RNA, 1246 nt
Filed under: Larix sp. phytoplasma
Lineage: Bacteria; Bacillati; Mycoplasmatota; Mollicutes; Acholeplasmatales; Acholeplasmataceae
Description: bacterial SSU rRNA
Rfam family: Bacterial small subunit ribosomal RNA
Source: RNAcentral
GAAACGACUGCUAAGACUGGAUAGGAGACAAGAAGGCAUCUUCUUGUUUUUAAAAGACCUAGCAAUAGGUAUGCUUAGGGAGGAGCUUGCGUCACAUUAGUUAGUUGGUGGGGUAAAGGCCUACCAAGACUAUGAUGUGUAGCCGGGCUGAGAGGUUGAACGGCCACAUUGGGACUGAGACACGGCCCAAACUCCUACGGGAGGCAGCAGUAGGGAAUUUUCGGCAAUGGAGGAAACUCUGACCGAGCAACGCCGCGUGAACGAUGAAGUAUUUCGGUACGUAAAGUUCUUUUAUUAGGGAAGAAUAAAUGAUGGAAAAAUCAUUCUGACGGUACCUAAUGAAUAAGCCCCGGCUAACUAUGUGCCAGCAGCCGCGGUAAUACAUAGGGGGCAAGCGUUAUCCGGAAUUAUUGGGCGUAAAGGGUGCGUAGGCGGUUAAAUAAGUUUAUGGUCUAAGUGCAAUGCUCAACAUUGUGAUGCUAUAAAAACUGUUUAGCUAGAGUAAGAUAGAGGCAAGUGGAAUUCCAUGUGUAGUGGUAAAAUGCGUAAAUAUACGGAGGAACACCAGUAGCGAAGGCGGCUUGCUGGGUCUUUACUGACGCUGAGGCACGAAAGCGUGGGGAGCAAACAGGAUUAGAUACCCUGGUAGUCCACGCCGUAAACGAUGAGUACUAAACGUUGGGUAAAACCAGUGUUGAAGUUAACACAUUAAGUACUCCGCCUGAGUAGUACGUACGCAAGUAUGAAACUUAAAGGAAUUGACGGGACUCCGCACAAGCGGUGGAUCAUGUUGUUUAAUUCGAAGGUACCCGAAAAACCUCACCAGGUCUUGACAUGCUUCUGCAAAGCUGUAGAAACACAGUGGAGGUUAUCAGUUGCACAGGUGGUGCAUGGUUGUCGUCAGCUCGUGUCGUGAGAUGUUGGGUUAAGUCCCGCAACGAGCGCAACCCUUAUUGUUAGUUACCAGCACGUAAUGGUGGGGACUUUAGCAAGACUGCCAGUGAUAAAUUGGAGGAAGGUGGGGACGACAUCAAAUCAUCAUGCCCCUUAUGACCUGGGCUACAAACGUGAUACAAUGGCUGUUACAAAGGGUAGCUGAAGCGCAAGUUUUUGGCGAAUCUCAAAAAAACAGUCUCAGUUCGGAUUGAAGUCUGCAACUCGACUUCAUGAAGUUGGAAUCGCUAGUAAUCGCGAAUCAGCAUGUCGCGGUGAAUACGUUCUCGGGGUUUGUACACACCGCCCGUCA